CCUACGGGUGGCUGCAGUGAGGAAUAUUGGUCAAUGGGCGGGAGCCUGAACCAGCCAAGUCGCGUGAGGGAAGACGGUCCUAUGGAUUGUAAACCUCUUUAGGCGGGGAGCAAGGCCGGGCACGUGUGCCCGGAGGGAGAGGACCCGCAGAAGAAGCAGCGGCUAACUCCGGGCCAGCAGCCGCGGUAAUACGGAGGAUGCGAGCGUUAUCCGGAUUUAUUGGGGUUAAAGGGGGCGUAGGCGGUCGGAGAAGUUAGAGGUGAAAUCCCGCGGCUCCACUUCGGAAUUGCCUCUGAUACUGUUCGGCUAGAGCGUAGUUGCGGUAGGCGGAAUGUAUGUUGUAGCGGUGAACUGCUUAGCGCUCAUACAGAACCCCGAUUGCGAAGGCAGCUUACCAAGCUACUUCUGACGUUGAGGCACGACAGCGUGGGGAGCACACAGGAUUCGCUACCCUAGUAGUC
Molecule: ribosomal RNA, 461 nt
Filed under: uncultured bacterium
Lineage: Bacteria
Description: partial 16S ribosomal RNA
Rfam family: Bacterial small subunit ribosomal RNA
Source: RNAcentral